This is a long non-coding RNA of Puntigrus tetrazona (Sumatra barb), 950 nucleotides long. RefSeq lists it as uncharacterized. NCBI's taxonomy places the organism in Eukaryota, Metazoa, Chordata, Actinopteri, Cypriniformes, Cyprinidae. The transcript has 4 exons. The record is from RefSeq and is a predicted model, not a curated record.
ACAUAAAUAGUAUCAUUUAUGUCGGUGACUUACAAUUCUAAUGCCAUACUCAUAAUUUGUGAGAAAGCAAUCUGGUAACACUUUGUUUUACAGUCCUGUUUCUCGUGUACAUACUAUGCAGUACUUUAGUAAUUGCCAUAAUUAGGUAAUAACUAGGUACUAACCGAAACCUACCCCUACCCAAUGUAGUUACCUUGUAUCACCGGUGCUUUCUUAGGUAAGUACACUGUAAGUACAGUAAAAUAAAGUGCAGUCUACCUGCUCUUUUGUAAGCUGUUUUCUCCAUCUUGUCUUUUCCCAGAUCAGAUACUGAGCCUGAUGUUGUGAUGGAAGGAAGCAGUUUGGCAGCUGGAGACUUUUCAGACAAUCUGAAACGGAGCAACCAAGAGCUGGAGGAAGAAUGUGUGAAGUUACGGAGGUUGUGGAUAAAAUGGCAAACAUACUGUCAAAGAUGGAGAAGAUGGUCCAUGCCGAGAGUGGAAUCUGUGAACUGGAAGCGUUUCAGUACGGAGAGAAAGGAAGAGCAGCACCACUCUUUCACACAUGGUCCACUCAACAGUUUGACUCAAUUUAUCAGAUUUCCCAUAUUGCUCACGAUUGCACAGAGUGAAAGAACUUAUGGACAGAAACGGCGUGAGCAUUGAGGAGGUCAUAUCUGAACUGGGGAAUGGCAUCGCUGCCUUACAGUCUGAUGAUUUAGCGAGACGUAUGUAUGAUCUUUCCUGCCUUGAAGAGGACAGGGGGACAUCGAGCUAUGAGAACAAUCAACCGCACACACACGCCAGUCAUCAGCACACUGCAAACACUGACUGACCCACUACAUGGCCAUAUGCAACAUGCAGCCACACAUGAGUCAAACUUUACCCGGCACACAGUGUCAAAUGCACUCGCUAAUAUACCAUCAUCUGUGUUUAUAAAAAUGUGAAACUUCUUGUGCAAAAUGUUUAUAA